RNAcentral lists this ribosomal RNA (3304 nucleotides) under Syringammina corbicula. Its description in RNAcentral is "SSU rRNA". The stretch from base 969 to 3304 matches the Rfam family "Eukaryotic small subunit ribosomal RNA". The record is from RNAcentral. Lineage: Eukaryota; Foraminifera; Syringamminidae.
CUCAAAGAUUAAGCCAUGCAAGUGGUUAUUUUAACCCUACAGUUUAAAUAAGUGUAAGAAGUAUUUAUUACAAUAUUAUUCAAAAAAAUUUUGUUUAGCAAAAUAAAAUUUCACUUACGCAACUGCAAACAGCUGCUUAAUACAGUCACACUUGUCUUGACUUGGCAAUAAUAUAGUAUAAAAUUUGAAUACCAAAUUUUUACAUUUUCUCAAAAUGAUUUCUCUGUGACAUUUAUUUCAUCAUAUGCAUGUCAUAAUUUAUAUUUUACUAUAGUUUUGGAUAACUCAGGGAAAGUUUGGCUAAUACGUACGAGAAUUUAUAUUUUGUAUAAUAUAAAACUAAUUUAUGAAUAUAAGAUAAGACAAUUUUAAUUUUUUAUAUUUAGUGUAUUAUACUUAUUAUCAGCACUUAUUGAUAAAUUUUUAUUAGAUUCAUCUAUUUAAAUAAUUUUAUUUAUGAUAAUUCUAGUUUUCAAAAAAUUUAAACGCACCAUGAGAGACAAUAAGUCGCACGUUUUCUAUUUUCUGCAAUUGCAUUUUAUAUGCAUAUGCGAGUGGAUUUCAUCAUUGCUGAGCAGACUUUGCGAAGUUUAAUUCUGCGCGAAGCUUGUCAUACAAGCAUCUAAAGCAUCAAGUCACAGGGUUGGCAAGUGUAUUUUUGAACCUUCAAAGCAGUCACGCAUACGGAAGAGUAGUUUCUGAUCCCAUAGAAGGAGCACAGUACAUUGAGAGACCGCUCUUAGUUCUAAGGAACGCAGCAGGCGCGUAAAUUGCCCAAUGCUAGUACCCUACUAUUUUUAGUAUUAAUAUAUGUUUGAUCUUUCUUUGAUAAAAACAGACAUUUGUAUGAUUUAUCCUUGUCAUCUUGAUUUCUCAAGUUAAAUAUUUUUAAUUAAUUUACUGAGGCAGUGACAAGCUGUAACGGUUGAGUAUUUAAAUGACGAGCGUCAGGUAUUGCCGUUUGCUUCUGCAAGCUUGGCAUUUUGCCUACGCUUUGUGUACUCAAUUGGAAUGCGGUGAGUUUAAGCAACUCAGAACCUAUGAAUGGUGUUUGAUGAAUAUCUUAUGCUAUUUAUGUAUCUGAAUUUUCAAGUGGAGGGCAAGUCUGGWGCCAGCAGCCGCGGUAAUACCAGCUCCACUGGCCUAUACAAUCAUUGUUGCGGUUAAGAGGCUCGUAGUUGGAUUGAACAAUCAAUAUAAACAUUUUUAAAUAAAAAAAUUCUUUAAUAAUAUUUUUCAAGAUAUUAUUAUUUUUAUACUCACUAUGAAUUUUAUAAUUUUAUUUUUCAACACUGUGAACAAAUCAGAGUGUACCAAACAUGUCGUCCAAGUGCAAUGAAUGUUUUAUCAUGGAAUGUUGCACAUUUUUUGAUAUUUAUUUAUGUUUUUUAGCAUAAUUUUCUUUUUCUAUACUCAAAUUUUGAAUGAAAUCGUAAAAUUAUUAAUUUUAAUUCUAUAAAUAAAUAUUUAUGUCGAUGGGGAUAGUUGGAGUUAAGAGUACUGCUGGGCGAGAGGUGAAAUUYAUUGACCCUAGCAAGACUACCAAAAGCGAAAGCACUUGACUAGGCUAUACUCUUUGUGAUUUAAUUUAACACCAAUUGUAUUAAUUACAUUUACAACAUAUUGGAUGAUUAGAUUUAUACACUUUACAAUGAAGAACGAAGGUUGGGGGAUCAAAGAGGAUCAGAUACCCUCGUCGUCCCAUUUGUUACAUCAAACGAUGGGCUCUCAAUUGCAUAUACAUUUAGAUGUUUUAGCCCUCAACCUAUAAAAAAUAUUGGUUUGAGCUUGUGUUAUUUUAAUACGCUCGCUAAUUUUUUCGUAUGGUUUCGAUGGACAUUUCGUUUAUAUAUUUUUUUGCGUGUAAGUAUUAUAAUAUUGCUUGAAAUAUCAGCAAUAUGUGCCUGCACAUGAUUUUCUGAGCUUUGCGCUCAUAUUAUUUGGUGAGAUGUAAGCACUAGAUAAGAGCUGCUAGCAACAGUUAUGUUUAAGCAGGUAUUAAUUUAUCGCCAUAACUUUGAUUGUUUAGCUUAGCUUUUUAUCCAUUUUAAAAAGUGUGAAGCACGCGUUAGGCACGCGCUUACUGCAGAAAUGWMWKAGACAUUCCCCYCCGGGGGUAGUAUGCACGCAAGUGUGAAACUUGAAGGAAUUGACGGAAGGGCACCACAAGAACGCGUGGAGCAUGUGGCUUAAUUUGACUCAACGCGGGAAAUCUUACCGGGUCCGGACACACUGAGGAUUGACAGGCAAUCAUGUGAAAUGUUUCUAACUUUUACAUAUAAAUAUGCUAGUCCUUUCAUGAUUAUGUGAUAGGUGGUGCAUGGCCGUUCUUAGUUCGUGGAGUGAUCUGUCUGCUUAAUUGCGUUUCACAUAGGACUUAAACUCAAGUGUGCUACAUUUCUUGUACUUAUUAUAUGUAAAUUUGAUAUAAUAUAUAUAUGUGUUAUAAAAAUGAUUGUAAUAUAAAAUUUACUUUUUAUAUAAUUUUCAUUAAGUAUAUAUAAUAUUUUUACAAUUAUUACUAAAUAUUUACUAUUUUGAAAUUGUACGUACACAUUAGGUCCUGAAAGCAACGAACGUGACCGCAUCCUCUUGUUGCCUUUUACUAAAACGAGUAUCUUAAAAAUUAAUAUUUUUUAUUAAUAAAUUAUCUACAAGUUUUGACCAGAAAGUGCUUUAUCAAACUAGAGGGACCGCUGCGACUUUUUUAAACCAGAGGAAGGUUGCGGCAAUAACAGGUCUGUGAUGCCCUUAGAUGUUCCGGGCUGCACACGUGCUACAAUGAUUAUUGCAGUAAGCAUCUCAUUUUAUAAUGCUGUAUCAUCAUCAAUCUUUUUAAAAGUUACUUGAUUUAGUUGAACAGUAAAGCCUGCUUCGAAAGUUCGCAGGUAAUCAAUUGGAAGUAAUGAUUUCUCUUAAUUCAAUAUUGUUUGAUUUUGUGAGCACACAAUAUGCUGCUCCUUUCCCUGGCAGUUAGCUUUUUUGGUCUUUCUGUCUUUCAGUGAGUUAGGAUGUUUCUCAGCAUGUGCUUUUUGUCAAUUCUUGGUGGGGACAGACCAUUGUUAAUUGUUGGUCUCGGUCUUAACUAGGAAUGCCUUGUACGGGUCUUUGGUUCAACAAACCACCCGGAAUACGUCCCUGCCCUUUGUACACACCGCCCGUCGCUCUUACCGAUGGACUUCUCUGUGAGUUUGAGGGACUGAGUACCUUGCUUUUUUGAAGUUAUUACCACUUAUGGAAACUUAAACGAACAGUGUGGUCUAAAGGAAAGAGAAGUCGUAACAAGGCAUCGGUAGGUGAACCU